RNAcentral lists this ribosomal RNA (253 nucleotides) under uncultured bacterium. RNAcentral's name for it is "partial 16S ribosomal RNA". It matches the Rfam family "Bacterial small subunit ribosomal RNA", at positions 524 to 776 of the family's 1533-position model. The record is from RNAcentral.
UACGGAGGGUGCAAGCAUUAAUCGGAUUUAUUGGGCGUAAAGGGCGCGUAGGCGGGAAUGAAAGUUGGAUGUGAAAUCCCGAGGCUCAACCUCGGACCCGCAUCCAAUACUUUAUUUCUGGAGGAUGAGCGGAGAAAAUGGAAUUCCACAUGUAGCGGUGAAAUGCGUAGAUAUGUGGAGGAACACCGGUGGCGAAGGCGAUUUUCUAGCUUAGACCUGACGCUGAGGCGCGAAAGCAAGGGGAGCAAACAGG